Cuculus canorus (common cuckoo) is the source of this 2824-nucleotide long non-coding RNA. RefSeq lists it as uncharacterized. Lineage: Eukaryota; Metazoa; Chordata; Aves; Cuculiformes; Cuculidae. The record is from RefSeq and is a predicted model, not a curated record. The transcript is spliced from 3 exons.
UUCUGCUCCAGGUCCUCCAGCUGGAGCCAGACUAUGGUACUGGUGUUUCGGUCCUCAACAGGUUGGUGAAAUGCUUUCUGUCUGGAUUUGUUGCUCAGUGAGGUUCUUAUUGCUCUACCUGUGGAGAGGGGAAGGAGAUUUAGUUAGGAAAGUACGACCAUGCUCUAGUAAGGAAGGUGAAAGACACCCUUCAGUGAUAAGGAGCAAAGCAUGGGGCGCUGCAGGAUGCUGAACCAAGGGAUCUCCCAGUCCUUCAUUUGGAAAGGGGGGUCCUUCUGGGUUUGAAAACCAUCAGAGGAGACCCUCAGCUUCAGCCCCUGGCUAAAACACUGCCAUCGCCCACCAGGGAUGCUGCAGCCCAGCCCACCACGGCACUGGGGUGGACGAUCUCAGGGGAUGCUUCAGAGCCAAGAACUAAAAGAAAAGAUGGAGAAGAAUAGAAGAAAACAGAUCACUGAGCUGCUGCAGGAGCUGGCUGCUUUCACACGAAGACCCUUGAUUUGCUGUAGUGCUGCAUUCUACCUCAAGCUAAGGACAAGGCUUGGCUCAUCCAGCAGCUCCAGCUCAUCCUGCUGCCCCAGCUCAUCCUGCAGCCCUGGCUCAUCUCGUCACUCAGGCUCAUCCUGCUGCCCUGGCUUGUUCUGCAGCCCUGGCUCAUCCCACAGGCAUGGCUCAUCCUGCUGCCCUGGCUAAUCCUACAACCCCCAUCCCAUCCCACUGCCAACUCUCUACCUUCAGUUUCCCAGAUCAAUUCACCGUGUUUAUUGACCAGCGGGAGCGAUGGGCUGUUGCAGGUUCAUCAGCUGUUUCUGCUUCUCCUUCCUUCAUCCCAGGUUUGCUGGGCUCGUGCUGAUCACUUUGGCCCAGUUUAUACAUGGAAAAAACACAUCUUGUGACAGAGAGGGAAGGAGCAUCACCGAGUCUUUUAGCCCCUACUCACCUGUAGAAGCACGCAUGCCACAGCCUGCAGGCAGCACCAUGGAUCUAUUCCAGAAGGAAGCAGGCUAAUAAGCUUCCUGGCAGGGCUGUGAAUGGAAAGAGGAUUUUAUGCAACAGGUUGAAGCUUGUCCCACGCUGAGCUCCUGCUGUAAAGCAGCAGAACCCACUGUGGGUUUGCUCUGAGGCGGCUGAAUGGUCCUUAGAGGGGCUAAAGCCGGUGGUGCCCUCCCUGUCCCGCAGGCAGAGGCGCUCGCUGCGGAUCCCGCAGGGACAACACGCUGUGUGUGCAACGCGCUUGCGUGCGCCGGCGGUGAAGGAGAACAGGCCAGAGAUUAUUCCCUGAUGUGUUUGAGCAAUGAUGCAAUUUGGGGAAACUUGCAGUCGUUUGCGAGCCAGGGAUCCCUGCCGGGCGGUGGGACACCUCUGCCACCCGCACAGCAUUCCCCAUCCUCUGUGUCCGGUUGGAAAGGAGACACCACCUGUCAGUGGUUUUUGGAAGAAAAGCCACAGACAUGGCAAGGACAGGCACGGGGUACUGCGGGCGUUCUUUUUGGUACUCCAAGGACUGCUCCUGCAAAUACAGCCUUUGAAAAAGCCAUCAAGUUUUUGGUUUGGCCUUUUCCAAGCAAAAGGAAAACAUGGCUCUUCCUCACAGGGUGUGGCUGUAGGGGAGAUGGCACAGGGUGUCACAGUGGGAUCCAUCCAACCCUUGACAUGGCCAGGAGUCAUCGCUGGGGCUGGAUGUGGGUGCAUGUCCCAGGAAAAGUCUCAGGGAAACUGCCAGCAUCAGGAAAGAAACCCACUCUGGGAUCUAAGCUCUUGCUGCUCGAGUCCUGCUGGGAACAGGAACUGGGAAUUUAGGAAAAAAGUAGUGAUGGUGAGUAAAUAGAUGGAGGCAGAGGGAAAUGGGGGGGCAGCAGCACAGCUUCCUUGGAACAAGUCAGCGUAAAAUCUGUCUCUGAUGGGAACGUCAGUGACUCACUGGCAGCGCGUGAGCUGUGAUCCCCCACUGGAGAUGAGAAGCGUGUUUUAGCCCUUCCCAACAAUUCAAGGAAGGUGAGUCCUUGGGGGAACCUUAAUUUUUUUUUCCUCUACAGGGGAUGCAAGACACAAGCUGUUGGCUGGGGCAGGUGUUAGAGGGCAAGAAGCGAAAUCCCACAUCCAAAGGGCCCCUUCCCAGGGCAAGGGGAGGAGGAGAUGUGUUUCUUCCCCACCCUCAUCAUUUGAAGAUGUACCUGAAUGGCUACAGUGAAGGUCUCUUGCCUUCCAUCUGCAAUUUUCUUCAUGUAACCCUUUUCCAAUGGUUUCCAUUUGAUAUUUGUGAUUAUGGAGUGAAAAAUGUGACUACUCUGCAGUAUUUUCUGAAAAGUUGCCAUCUCCGUGCACAGCUCUGCCAAAACACUCGCUCACAGAAGCACUCGUGGGAAGUGCGGCUGCAGUGGGAGUGGAUCCACCUCGCAGGGCAGGGAGAAGACGCUUUGUCACUAACAGGGAGGGUGACCCCAAGGCUGCUCACCCUCGUGGGCAGGGGCUGGGAGGGUCUUGCCUCCCAUGCUCAGCUGGGGCAGGGAAGCCAGCGCUGCCCUGGCACCAGCGAUGCUCCGCUGGCCGCAUCAACACAUCAACCCGUCACCAUCCAGCUCCAGUGAUGGUGAAACACAAUGAGUGUUUCUGGUUGGUUCUGCCAAUAACAGGGUUGAGCAUCAUACAGCAACUGCUCCUUGGGUCCCCCCAGCCUGCAGCAGAAGUGCUGGCACUGAACUCCAGCAGCACAAAUCACCCCCGCAACCCCUGGGAGGUGGCCCACGUGGCAUUCGGAGCAGGUGUUUGCUGGCAGAGCGGCAUUCGGAGGGCUCUCGGUACUCUUUUUUUUGUUACAGCGCUU